Regulatory RNA element from Lachnospiraceae bacterium 28-4, 161 nucleotides. The record is from Rfam. Lineage: Bacteria; Bacillati; Bacillota; Clostridia; Lachnospirales; Lachnospiraceae.
UUGCGUUCAUCAGCUAUUUCACUUAUGAAAUGGAGAAUACCUCAGGGAAAAAUUGCCACGGAGGGCAAUUUUAGGAAACAUAGGGCACGACGCCCGUUGUUUCCGACCCGAUCGGUUUCACAACAUUUAUCCAUUUCAUUAGUGAAAUCUGAUAGAACGCU